This 1400-nucleotide ribosomal RNA is filed under the name Acinetobacter pittii. RNAcentral's name for it is "bacterial SSU rRNA". It matches the Rfam family "Bacterial small subunit ribosomal RNA". The record is from RNAcentral. Lineage: Bacteria; Pseudomonadati; Pseudomonadota; Gammaproteobacteria; Moraxellales; Moraxellaceae.
CAUGCAGUCGAGCGGAGAGAGGUAGCUUGCUACUGAUCUUAGCGGCGGACGGGUGAGUAAUGCUUAGGAAUCUGCCUAUUAGUGGGGGACAACAUUUCGAAAGGAAUGCUAAUACCGCAUACGUCCUACGGGAGAAAGCAGGGGAUCUUCGGACCUUGCGCUAAUAGAUGAGCCUAAGUCGGAUUAGCUAGUUGGUGGGGUAAAGGCCUACCAAGGCGACGAUCUGUAGCGGGUCUGAGAGGAUGAUCCGCCACACUGGGACUGAGACACGGCCCAGACUCCUACGGGAGGCAGCAGUGGGGAAUAUUGGACAAUGGGCGCAAGCCUGAUCCAGCCAUGCCGCGUGUGUGAAGAAGGCCUUAUGGUUGUAAAGCACUUUAAGCGAGGAGGAGGCUACUUUAGAUAAUACCUAGAGAUAGUGGACGUUACUCGCAGAAUAAGCACCGGCUAACUCUGUGCCAGCAGCCGCGGUAAUACAGAGGGUGCAAGCGUUAAUCGGAUUUACUGGGCGUAAAGCGCGCGUAGGCGGCUAAUUAAGUCAAAUGUGAAAUCCCCGAGCUUAACUUGGGAAUUGCAUUCGAUACUGGUUAGCUAGAGUGUGGGAGAGGAUGGUAGAAUUCCAGGUGUAGCGGUGAAAUGCGUAGAGAUCUGGAGGAAUACCGAUGGCGAAGGCAGCCAUCUGGCCUAACACUGACGCUGAGGUGCGAAAGCAUGGGGAGCAAACAGGAUUAGAUACCCUGGGUAGUCCAUGCCGUAAACGAUGUCUACUAGCCGUUGGGGCCUUUGAGGCUUUAGUGGCGCAGCUAACGCGAUAAGUAGACCGCCUGGGGAGUACGGUCGCAAGACUAAAACCCAAAUGAAUUGACGGGGGCCCGCACAAGCGGUGGAGCAUGUGGUUUAAUUCGAUGCAACGCGAAGAACCUUACCUGGCCUUGACAUAGUAAGAACUUUCCAGAGAUGGAUUGGUGCCUUCGGGAACUUACAUACAGGUGCUGCAUGGCUGUCGUCAGCUCGUGUCGUGAGAUGUUGGGUUAAGUCCCGCAACGAGCGCAACCCUUUUCCUUAUUUGCCAGCGAGUAAUGUCGGGAACUUUAAGGAUACUGCCAGUGACAAACUGGAGGAAGGCGGGGACGACGUCAAGUCAUCAUGGCCCUUACGGCCAGGGCUACACACGUGCUACAAUGGUCGGUACAAAGGGUUGCUACCUAGCGAUAGGAUGCUAAUCUCAAAAAGCCGAUCGUAGUCCGGAUUGGAGUCUGCAACUCGACUCCAUGAAGUCGGAAUCGCUAGUAAUCGCGGAUCAGAAUGCCGCGGUGAAUACGUUCCCGGGCCUUGUACACACCGCCCGUCACACCAUGGGAGUUUGUUGCACCAGAAGUAGCUAGCCUAACUGCAAAGAG